AGAGUUUGAUCCUGGCUCAGGAUGAACGCUAGCUACAGGCUUAACACAUGCAAGUCGAGGGGCAGCGAGAGGAAAGCUUGCUUUCCUUGUCGGCGACCGGCGCACGGGUGAGUAACGCGUAUCCAACCUUCCCCAUAGUAGAGGAUAGCCCGGCGAAAGUCGAAUUAAUACUCUAUGUUGUAUAAUGAGGACAUCUGAAUUAUACCAAAGAUUCAUCGCUAUGGGAUGGGGAUGCGUCUGAUUAGCUUGUCGGCGGGGUAACGGCCCACCGAGGCAACGAUCAGUAGGGGUUCUGAGAGGAAGGUCCCCCACAUUGGUACUGAGACACGGACCAAACUCCUACGGGAGGCAGCAGUGAGGAAUAUUGGUCAAUGGACGAGAGUCUGAACCAGCCAAGUAGCGUGCAGGAUGACUGCCCUAUGGGUUGUAAACUGCUUUUAUGCGGGAAUAAAGUCAGGCACGUGUGCCUGUUUGUAUGUACCGCAUGAAUAAGGACCGGCUAAUUCCGUGCCAGCAGCCGCGGUAAUACGGAAGGUCCGGGCGUUAUCCGGAUUUAUUGGGUUUAAAGGGAGCGCAGGCGGAAGGUUAAGCGUGACGUGAAAUGUACCGGCUCAACCGGUGAUGUGCGUCGCGAACUGGCUUUCUUGAGUGGGUACGACGCUGGCGGAAUUCGUGGUGUAGCGGUGAAAUGCUUAGAUAUCACGAAGAACUCCGAUUGCGAAGGCAGCCGGCGAGUCCUCAACUGACGCUAAUGCUCGAAAGUGCGGGUAUCGAACAGGAUUAGAUACCCUGGUAGUCCGCACGGUAAACGAUGGAUGCCCGCUGUUGGCGAUAUAUUGUCAGCGGCCAAGCGAAAGCGUUAAGCAUCCCACCUGGGGAGUACGCCGGCAACGGUGAAACUCAAAGGAAUUGACGGGGGCCCGCACAAGCGGAGGAACAUGUGGUUUAAUUCGAUGAUACGCGAGGAACCUUACCCGGGCUUGAACUGCAGCAGAACGAUAGAGAGAUCUUGAGGC
RNAcentral lists this ribosomal RNA (1016 nucleotides) under uncultured rumen bacterium. RNAcentral describes it as "bacterial SSU rRNA". It matches the Rfam family "Bacterial small subunit ribosomal RNA", at positions 8 to 1015 of the family's 1533-position model. The record is from RNAcentral.